RNAcentral lists this small RNA (981 nucleotides) under Pan troglodytes (chimpanzee). Its description in RNAcentral is "retained intron". The record is from RNAcentral. Lineage: Eukaryota; Metazoa; Chordata; Mammalia; Primates; Hominidae.
ACCGCGCAGCUACCGACGUCUAUGCCCUCAUGUUCCUGGCUGAUGUUGUCGACUUCAUCAUCAUCAUUUUUGGCUUCUGGGCCUUUGGGGUGAGCCAGGCCCGGGACCCAAACCCAGUGUACGCAGAGCUCAGCAGCCACCCACAUCCCCCGGGCUUGGCUCCCCCUGACCUGUGCUCUCCUGGCCACAGAAACACUCGGCGGCCACAGACAUCACGUCCUCCCUAUCAGACGACCAGGUACCCGAGGCUUUCCUGGUCAUGCUGCUGAUCCAGUUCAGUACCAUGGUGGUCGACCGCGCCCUCUACCUGCGCAAGACCGUGCUGGGCAAGCUGGCCUUCCAGGUGGUGCUGGUGCUGGCCAUCCACCUAUGGAUGUUCUUCAUCCUGCCCGCCGUCACUGAGAGGAUGUUCAACCAGAAUGUGGUGGCCCAGCUCUGGUACUUCGUGAAGUGCAUCUACUUCGCCCUGUCCGCCUACCAGAUCCGCUGCGGCUACCCCACCCGCAUCCUCGGCAACUUCCUCACCAAGAAGUACAAUCACCUCAACCUCUUCCUCUUCCAGGGGUGAGUGCAGGUCCGCCGGGGUGGGGGUCACGGCCCGGGCAUGAGGGAGCCUACCUGACGGGAACCCUGGCUGUGGGCAGGUUCCGGCUGGUGCCGUUCCUGGUGGAGCUACGGGCAGUGAUGGACUGGGUGUGGACGGACACCACGCUGUCCCUGUCCAGCUGGAUGUGUGUGGAGGACAUCUAUGCUAACAUCUUCAUCAUCAAAUGCAGCCGAGAGACAGAGAAGAGAUACCCGCAGCCCAAAGGGCAGAAGAAGAAGAAGAUCGUCAAGUACGGCAUGGGUGGCCUCAUCAUCCUCUUCCUCAUCGCCAUCAUCUGGUUCCCGCUGCUCUUCAUGUCACUGGUGCGCUCCGUGGUCGGGGUUGUCAACCAGCCCAUCGAUGUCACCGUCACCCUCAAGCUGGGCGGCUAUGAG